RNAcentral lists this ribosomal RNA (433 nucleotides) under uncultured bacterium. Its description in RNAcentral is "partial 16S ribosomal RNA". It matches the Rfam family "Bacterial small subunit ribosomal RNA", at positions 29 to 507 of the family's 1533-position model. The record is from RNAcentral.
AACGAACGCUGGCGGCAUGCCUAACACAUGCAAGUCGAACGAGACCUUCGGGUCUAGUGGCGCACGGGUGCGUAACGCGUGGGAACCUGCCCUUAGGUUCGGAAUAACUCCCCGAAAGGGGUGCUAAUACCGGAUAAUGUCUUCGGACCAAAGAUUUAUCGCCUUUGGAUGGGCCCGCGUUGGAUUCGCUAGUUGGUAGGGUAAAAGCCUACCAAGGCGACGAUCCAUAGCUGGUCUGAGAGGAUGAUCAGCCACACUGGGACUGAGACACGGCCCAGACUCCUACGGGAGGCAGCAGUGGGGAAUAUUGGACAAUGGGCGAAAGCCUGAUCCAGCAAUGCCGCGUGAGUGAUGAAGGCCUUAGGGUUGUAAGGCUCUUUUACCCGGGAUGAUAAUGACAGUACCGGGAGAAUAAGCUCCGGCUAACUCCGUG